RNAcentral lists this ribosomal RNA (449 nucleotides) under uncultured bacterium. RNAcentral describes it as "bacterial SSU rRNA". It matches the Rfam family "Bacterial small subunit ribosomal RNA", at positions 328 to 794 of the family's 1533-position model. The record is from RNAcentral.
CGCCCAGACUCCUACGGGAGGCAGCAGUGGGGGAUAUUGCACAAUGGGGGGAACCCUGAUGCAGCGACGCCGCGUGGGUGAAGGAGCGUUUCGGCGCGUAAAGCCCUAUCGGCAGGGAAGAGGAUGACGGUACCUGACCAAGAAGCCCCGGCUAACUACGUGCCAGCAGCCGCGGUAAUACGUAGGGGGCAAGCGUUAUCCGGAUUUACUGGGUGUAAAGGGGGCGCAGACGGCAAUGCAAGCCAGGAGUGAAAGGCGGGGGCUCAACCCCCGGACUGCUCUGGAAACUGUACGGCUGGAGUGUAGGAGAGGUAAGUGGAAUUCCUAGUGUAGCGGUGAAAUGCGUAGAUAUUAGGAGGAACACCAGUGGCGAAGGCGACUUUCUGGACUGUACCUGACGCUGAGGCGCGAAAGCGUGGGUAGCGAACGGGAUUAGAUACCCCUGUAGU